This 256-nucleotide ribosomal RNA is filed under the name Vibrio parahaemolyticus. RNAcentral's name for it is "partial 23S ribosomal RNA". It matches the Rfam family "Bacterial large subunit ribosomal RNA", at positions 1 to 252 of the family's 2925-position model. Lineage: Bacteria; Pseudomonadati; Pseudomonadota; Gammaproteobacteria; Vibrionales; Vibrionaceae. The record is from RNAcentral.
GUUGUAUGGUUAAGUGACUAAGCGUACACGGUGGAUGCCUUGGCAGUCAGAGGCGAUGAAAGACGUAGUAACUUGCGAUAAGCCCAGAUUAGGUAGUAACAACCAUUUGAGUCUGGGAUUUCUGAAUGGGGAAACCCACUUACAUAAGUAAGUAUCAUUAACUGAAUACAUAGGUUAAUGAGGCGAACCGGGGGAACUGAAACAUCUAAGUACCCCGAGGAAAAGAAAUCAACCGAGAUUCCGAAAGUAGCGGCGA